RNAcentral lists this ribosomal RNA (468 nucleotides) under uncultured bacterium. RNAcentral describes it as "partial 16S ribosomal RNA". It matches the Rfam family "Bacterial small subunit ribosomal RNA", at positions 28 to 507 of the family's 1533-position model. The record is from RNAcentral.
GACGAACGCUGGCGGCGUGCUUAACACAUGCAAGUCGAACGGAAAGGCCCUGCUUUUGUGGGGUGCUCGAGUGGCGAACGGGUGAGUAACACGUGAGUAACCUGCCCCUGACUUUGGGAUAACUUCAGGAAACUGGGGCUAAUACCGGAUAGGAGCUCCUGCUGCAUGGUGGGGGUUGGAAAGUUUCGGCGGUUGGGGAUGGACUCGCGGCUUAUCCGCUUGUUGGUGGGGUAGUGGCUUACCAAGGCUUUGACGGGUAGCCGGCCUGGGAGGGUGACCGGCCACAUUGGGACUGAGAUACGGCCCAGACUCCUACGGGAGGCAGCAGUGGGGAAUAUUGCACAAUGGGCGGAAGCCUGAUGCAGCAACGCCGCGUGCGGGAUGACGGCCUUCGGGUGGUAAACCGCUUUCGCCUGUGACGAAGCGUGAGUGACGGUAAUGGGUAAAGAAGCACCGGCUAACUACGUG